RNAcentral lists this ribosomal RNA (253 nucleotides) under uncultured bacterium. RNAcentral's name for it is "partial 16S ribosomal RNA". It matches the Rfam family "Bacterial small subunit ribosomal RNA", at positions 524 to 776 of the family's 1533-position model. The record is from RNAcentral.
UGCGGAGGGUGCAAGCGUUGUUCGGAAUCAUUGGGCGUAAAGCGCGCGUAGGCGGCCCGGUAAGUCCGUUGUGAAAGUCAAAGGCUCAACCUUUGAACGCCGAUGGAUACUGCCGGGCUAGAGUCCGGAAGAGGCGAGUGGAAUUCCUGGUGUAGCGGUGGAAUGCGCAGAUAUCAGGAGGAACACCAAUAGCGAAGGCAGCUCGCUGGGACGGUACUGACGCUGAGGCGCGAAAGCGUGGGGAGCGAACAGG